Molecule: long non-coding RNA, 1368 nt
Organism: Chlorocebus sabaeus (green monkey)
Lineage: Eukaryota; Metazoa; Chordata; Mammalia; Primates; Cercopithecidae
Source: RefSeq, a predicted model, not a curated record
GGCUCACUCCCUUCCCGCCGCCAUGUUUCCGCUACGCAGGGAGGGAGCGGGGACGCGGGAAGGGGGCGGGCGGGCGGCUCCGGAGAGCGGCGGGCGGGCGGCGGGGGGCUCCACCGAGCUGGCGACGGCUGCUGAGGCGGGGGGCGGGGCGGGGGCUCCGGCCCCUCCCCCGCGCCUCCUGCCGCGAGGUGGCGCGCGCCUCGGCCGUUGGGCUCGCGCGGGGGGCGGGGCGGCGCGCUGGAGGAGGGAGGGCGCGCAGGGACCUGGCACGGUCCUACCCCGCCGGCCUGCAGACCCCGGUCCGGGGGCCCCGCUGGCGCCCGGGCCAGCUCUCGGGUAAUGUGAAAUGGUGAGACAUGAUUCCUCAGAGCUCUAUUAUCCCACAAGUCUAUGUCUACUAACCUCACAAGGAAAAUCCUUCACGAGGUUCCUCUCAGUUCCUGUGGCAGACAGGCUCUUGGGGAGGUCGCUCACCAUCCCACCUGCUGAUGUCAUGGUUUUCUGUAAUUCCUUCCAUUUGAGUGGUGGGGAGGUGGCUACAGUGGUGCUGUGACUUGCUUCUCACUGGUAGAAUGCAGCAAAGGUGAUGAGGCUUCGUUCUCUACAGUGAUCUUGUGAGAAGGAAACCAAGUUGCAGUAUUCUGCCGUUCAAAACUCUCCAAUGCUUCUGAUUCCAAUUCGAACAACGUCUGAAUUUCUCACCACAACUACGAGCGGUGCUGUGCUGGUAACAACCAGUUCUCAGAGGCAGAGAGCCCUGAUUUGUAGCAUUUGUUAAUUGUGGUGCAUAUUCCCUUCCAUGGCCGAUUUCAAGCUUCCAAGCUGAUAUCACUGAGCGCAGAGUUGAGAAGGGAUGCAAAGAAUCAAGACAGAGCCAGUCUGAGUUGACACCAACGCCCCACACAUAAGAUCUGGCCCCAGAUGCCUUCUCCAGACAACCUGCUUAUUCUGCCACCCCUGUUCACUCUGCUGGAUCACUGGCCUUCUUGCUGUUUCUCGAACAUAACAAGCACAUUUACACCUCAGGGCCUUGGUACUUGCUGUUCUCUGUUUGGGAUGCUCUUCUCCGGAAAUGUGCAUAACUUACUGUGCCACGUCAUUCAGGUCUCAGCUCAACUGUUACAGAGAGGCCUCCCCUGAGCAUUUUCCCUAAGACAUCCUACCCACUCCCAUCCUCCAUCACUUUUAUUCCUUGCUCUGCUUUAUUUUUUCUCCAAGGGCCUCAAUCCCUAUCUGAUAAUAAAUGAUAGAUAUUUAAACUUAUUUGUCUAGGUCAGGACUGGAUGGCCACCCCUAGAAUAGACCGGACUCGAAGAAAGCACUCAAUACAUAUUUGCUAGUUGAUAAAUGAGUAAUUAGUUUUCCUCU